This 164-nucleotide ribosomal RNA is filed under the name Medicago monspeliaca. RNAcentral's name for it is "5.8S ribosomal RNA". It matches the Rfam family "5.8S ribosomal RNA". Rfam says of the family: 5.8S ribosomal RNA (5.8S rRNA) is a component of the large subunit of the eukaryotic ribosome. It is transcribed by RNA polymerase I as part of the 45S precursor that also contains 18S and 28S rRNA. The record is from RNAcentral. Lineage: Eukaryota; Viridiplantae; Streptophyta; Magnoliopsida; Fabales; Fabaceae.
UAGAAUGACUCUCGGCAACGGAUAUCUAGGCUCUUGCAUCGAUGAAGAACGUAGCGAAAUGCGAUACUUGGUGUGAAUUGCAGAAUCCCGUGAACCAUCGAGUCUUUGAACGCAAGUUGCGCCCGAUGCCAUUAGGUUAAGGGCACGUCUGCCUGGGUGUCACA